Molecule: long non-coding RNA, 497 nt
Filed under: Aquilegia coerulea
Lineage: Eukaryota; Viridiplantae; Streptophyta; Magnoliopsida; Ranunculales; Ranunculaceae
Description: long non-coding RNA (ACOE_LNC001008)
Source: RNAcentral
AGUGGCGUAGCCAGGAUUUUCGGUGAGGGGGAGCAGUGGAGCACCCACUCUAUCAAUUUUUUGCUGAAAGUAGUUGGGUAAAAUAUAAAAAUUGAUACAAGAAAAACAAACAGAUUGAUAUCUAUUACCUUAGAAAAAAAAGCCAAUGAUGUAAAACAGUAUAUUAACAAAGCAAAAUAUAUAUAAGUAGAUAAUUGGAUAAAAUACAUCAAAUCAGGACGGGUAAUGUAGUAGCAAAGUAAAAUUAACUAGUAUUAAAUAUUUAAACUAGAAACAAUGCAAAUUUUUAGGCAUGUAUUAAGGAAAGAAAUAGAAAAUAACCAUAAUAUCCUUAUUAUGAAUGUUAAUUACUGUUGGUUAGUUAAUUAUUAAGGGUAAACUAGUCAAAGAAUAAAACCAAACAUAUUAAUAUUUGGUUAGUAAGAAAUAUACAUAUAUAUUUUCCAAAAGUUCAGGGGGCGCAAUUGCGCACCCUCAAACCCCCCUGGCUCCGCCAC